AUUGAACGCUGGCGGCAUGCUUUACACAUGCAAGUCGAACGGUAACAGAUUAAGCUGACGAGUGGCGAACGGGUGAGUAAUGCAUCGGAACGUGCCCGAUCGUGGGGGAUAACGCAGCGAAAGCUGCGCUAAUACCGCAUACGAUCUGAGGAUGAAAGCGGGGGACCGUAAGGCCUCGCGCGAUCGGAGCGGCCGAUGUCAGAUUAGGUAGUUGGUGGGGUAAAGGCCCACCAAGCCGACGAUCUGUAGCUGGUCUGAGAGGACGGCCAGCCACACUGGGACUGAGACACGGCCCAGACUCCUACGGGCGGCAGCAGGGGGGAAUGUUGGACAAUGGGCGAAAGCCUGAUCCAGCAAUGCCGCGUGCAGGAAGAAGGCCUUCGGGUUGUAAACUGCUUUUGUACGGAGCGAAAAGGUCCUUUCUAAUACAAGGGGCUCAUGACGGUACCGUAAGAAUAAGCACCGGCUAACUACGUGCCAGCCGCCGCGGUAA
This 493-nucleotide ribosomal RNA is filed under the name uncultured bacterium. Its description in RNAcentral is "partial 16S ribosomal RNA". It matches the Rfam family "Bacterial small subunit ribosomal RNA", at positions 29 to 523 of the family's 1533-position model. The record is from RNAcentral.